Molecule: ribosomal RNA, 465 nt
Filed under: uncultured Klebsiella sp.
Lineage: Bacteria; Pseudomonadati; Pseudomonadota; Gammaproteobacteria; Enterobacterales; Enterobacteriaceae
Description: bacterial SSU rRNA
Rfam family: Bacterial small subunit ribosomal RNA
Source: RNAcentral
CCUACGGGGGGCUGCAGCGGGGAAUAUUGCACAAUGGGCGCAAGCCUGAUGCAGCCAUGCCGCGUGUGUGAAGAAGGCCUUCGGGUUGUAAAGCACUUUCAGCGGGGAGGAAGGCGUUAAGGUUAAUAACCUUGUCGAUUGACGUUACCCGCAGAAGAAGCACCGGCUAACUCCGUGCCAGCAGCCGCGGUAAUACGGAGGGUGCAAGCGUUAAUCGGAAUUACUGGGCGUAAAGCGCACGCAGGCGGUCUGUCAAGUCGGAUGUGAAAGCCCCGGGCUCAACCUGGGAACUGCAUUCGAAACAGGCAGGCUAGAGUCUGGUAGAGGGGGGUAGAAUUCCAGGUGUAGCGGUGAAAUGCGUAGAGAUCUGGAGGAAUACCGGUGGCGAAGGCGGCCCCCUGGACAAAGACUGACGCUCAGGUGCGAAAGCGUGGGGAGCAAACAGGAUUAGAUACCCUAGUAGGC